RNAcentral lists this ribosomal RNA (479 nucleotides) under uncultured bacterium. Its description in RNAcentral is "partial 16S ribosomal RNA". It matches the Rfam family "Bacterial small subunit ribosomal RNA", at positions 28 to 507 of the family's 1533-position model. The record is from RNAcentral.
GAUGAACGCUAGCGGGAGGCCUAACACAUGCAAGCCGAGCGGUAGAGUUUCUUCGGAAACUUGAGAGCGGCGCACGGGUGCGUAACACGUGUGCAACCUACCUUUAUCUGGGGGAUAGCCUUUCGAAAGGAAGAUUAAUACCCCAUAAUAUAAUGAUUGGCAUCAAUUAUUAUUGAAAACUCCGGUGGAUAGAGAUGGGCACGCGCAAGAUUAGAUAGUUGGUGAGGUAACGGCUCACCAAGUCAAUGAUCUUUAGGGGUCCUGAGAGGGAGAUCCCCCACACUGGUACUGAGACACGGACCAGACUCCUACGGGAGGCAGCAGUGAGGAAUAUUGGACAAUGGGUGAGAGCCUGAUCCAGCCAUCCCGCGUGAAGGAUGACGGUACUAUGGAUUGUAAACUUCUUUUGUACAGGGAUAAACCUACCCUCGUGAGGGUAGCUGAAGGUACUGUACGAAUAAGCACCGGCUAACUCCGUG